Molecule: small RNA, 140 nt
Filed under: human gut metagenome
Also listed under: 1 other name
Description: Clostridiales-1 RNA
Rfam family: Clostridiales-1 RNA
Source: RNAcentral
CCAGGGACGAAAGGUCAUGCGUUUCAUGCUUGCAUGAAAGCGCAUGAGGUUGAGUCCCGCAAAACAUGAGAAAGCAGCCCGAUCAGGGCGGAUUUCGAAUGUUUUAGGAUUGCGGGAGCGCGCAGCGCGGAGCAAUCCGU